Molecule: non-coding RNA, 799 nt
Organism: Ictidomys tridecemlineatus (thirteen-lined ground squirrel)
Lineage: Eukaryota; Metazoa; Chordata; Mammalia; Rodentia; Sciuridae
Source: RefSeq, a predicted model, not a curated record
GCAUGCCAGGAGAGCACUCUCCUCUGAGCUCUGUCCCCAGCCCCUUCACUUCACAUUCCAAGUGGGCACAGCUGGCAUGAAUAAAUGCUGGUUUUACUGUUGAAGAAAACAGCUACUCUGGAGACACGUACACAUGGACACACAUCCCCUGACCCUCCUGUGCCUGCCCAGGAAAACAUCUCAUCUCUGGAGUUGGCAUCAGAAGCUGUCAGAAUUUCUUGGAUCUUUCAGGUUUGAACUGCUGGUCUCAGCUAAGCACUACUGUGAGAGAAGAAGACACAACAGUUAAGCAAGAGAAGUUUGUACCCUCUUGUGCCUGCACUAGAGAAGGCUGUAGAAAGUGAGUAAGGUUCCACAUAAACAAAAUAUUUCACAUAGUGAUAAAACAAUCUGAUGAAAAAGAGAGAAUAAUGGCUUGCCACAUGAGGUUAGAUAGGUGGUCAUGCAUAGCCCCUCUGAAAGUUGAGUAAAUCAAGACCCAAAUGAGAAAAAUGCAGCCACACCAUAACCUGCAAUCUGGAGAGUGUUCAGGCUAUGCACACAGCCAGGGCAGACAUCCUGCAGUGCUCACAGUCCUGGGGUGGGGUCGGGGGCAGGCCCACAUGGCUUGGGCCCAGGCAGGAGUGCAGUAUGCAGGCAAUGAGGUGAGCAGGGGAAGAUAGUGGCCCAUCCUGUGGGCAGUGACCAUGAACCUGUGUUCACUCACCAAAAGGAGCUUCCAGGCGGUGGCUCUGUGGAGUGCUCAAAGAUUCCUUCUGUUUCUUGUGGAAAAAUCUGUGGCCCCAUAGGGAAUGCAGUG